Poecile atricapillus (Black-capped chickadee) is the source of this 1267-nucleotide long non-coding RNA. RefSeq lists it as uncharacterized. The transcript is spliced from 5 exons. The record is from RefSeq and is a predicted model, not a curated record. NCBI's taxonomy places the organism in Eukaryota, Metazoa, Chordata, Aves, Passeriformes, Paridae.
UCCCUUAGGCCACGUGAAGGGAGAGCCUCACUUUUGUUCACAGUGCUGAGGUGUGCAGGACAGAGCAGUCCCGGGGCGUGUCGUAUCACUUGUCCGUCGUGCCUUCUGUGUCUUUUGUGCCUCUCGUGUUGUACGUGCCUCGCCUUAUCUCUUCUGGGGGCUUACCAGAAACCCCGGCGUCACUCCUCGCAUCUCUGAUCUCUGGGCUCCUCAGCCCGACACCAUCGAAGCUUUGCCUCUGGAGCCCUCAGAGGCCUUGGAAUUGCGUCUCUCUUUUAAAAGCAUCCGAUCGGAUGUCUUUUAGAGGUCUUGUUCUGAGCUGUGUCAACAGCCGUGCGCCGCGAGGAUCCAUUGUUGCGGCUUAGGUCUUGAAGAAACGCAGAGAUAGGUAGGGGGCUGUGGCCCUCAGAUUCUCGGGUAUCCGUCUUGGCAGUUGCUGGAGUUUGUCAUUCCAUCAGCAUCUUCUUCCUCCCGGGUUCUGCGAGCUUCAUCAGCUCGCCUUCAUUCUCACACGGCUCAUCUCGUUCCGCGUUCUCUCGGUCCUUGCGGCCAUUCUUGUGGCCCAGAGUUUUGUCUCCCCAUUGUGUCCCCUCGUCUGUUGUCUUGUGUGUCACGGGUGUCUGGGUGUAGUUGUCCCGGAGCUGCUCUGUCCUGCUGCCCAGCCUGGGUGUAGGUGUAAAAGGCCGAGUCCCAGGCCCCUGUAAUUUGAAAUUUGUCAUGUAGGGUGUAGUUGGAGUCUAGAGGGUAUUCCUAGAUUGACACAAGAUGUCUGGAGCUGUGAAGUUACUCUGCAGCACUUUGACUUUUGUCUUAGCUUUCUUUCAGAUGCGGACGGAUGAAAUCGGUGGCAGAGUGCCCCAUCCAGGGUAAGGGGGUUCCCGCGAGAAGGAAGUAGAGCCAGCUGGCAGCAGUCAAGGUGAAGUGGGCAAGGCGGUCCAGUCGCGUUUCGCUGAGACGUCCUUGCCAACCGGCCGGCACAGCUGCUUCACCGCUCCCGUGAGCCCUGCGGAAGCGUUAUGGAACCGUGUGACGGAGCCUUUUCCACGUAAAGGGGCCGUGUGGGUGGCCUUCAGGAACGGGCCGAGGGGUUGCCGCGCGCCCUGUGACGACGGCGUCCGGCUCCCGGCGUGGCCGAAGCGUGUGGCCUCAGGACGUGGCCGUUCACAGGAGACCCUGACCGAGAGACGGCAGCCUGGCGAUGGCAGGAACUUCCCAGAUGGCGAGGCGGCCUUCCUUGGCACUCCAUGUGGAUCCUCCCCGCUGGGCA